This 554-nucleotide ribosomal RNA is filed under the name uncultured bacterium. RNAcentral's name for it is "partial 16S ribosomal RNA". It matches the Rfam family "Bacterial small subunit ribosomal RNA", at positions 355 to 900 of the family's 1533-position model. The record is from RNAcentral.
UAGGGAAUCUUCCACAAUGGACGCAAGUCUGAUGGAGCAACGCCGCGUGAGUGAAGAAGGUUUUCGGACCGUAAAGCUCUGUCGUUGGUGAAGAAGGAUAGAGGUAGUAACUGGCCUUUAUUUGACGGUAAUCAACCAGAAAGUCACGGCUAACUACGUGCCAGCAGCCGCGGUAAUACGUAGGUGGCAAGCGUUGUCCGGAUUUAUUGGGCGUAAAGCGAGCGCAGGCGGAAGAAUAAGUCUGAUGUGAAAGCCCUCGGCUUAACCGAGGAAUUGCAUCGGAAACUGUUUUCUUGAGUGCAGAAGAGGAGAGUAGAACUCCAUGUGUAGCGGUGGAAUGCGUAGAUAUAUGGAAGAAUACCAGUGGCGAAGGCGGCUCUCUGGUCUGCAACUGACGCUGAGGCUCGAAAGCAUGGGUAGCGAACAGGAUUAGAUACCCUGGUAGUCCAUGCCGUAAACGAUGAGUGCUAAGUGUUGGGAGGCUUCCGCCUCUCAGUGCUGCAGCUAACGCAUUAAGCACUCCGCCUGGGGGAGUACGACCGCAAGGUUGAAAC